Long non-coding RNA from Gallus gallus (chicken), 1822 nucleotides. Lineage: Eukaryota; Metazoa; Chordata; Aves; Galliformes; Phasianidae. The record is from Ensembl.
GCCUGCAUCUUAUCAAACCAGGGCCAAAUUCUGCCACAGAUCUCAAGUGAAAGGCAGAGCUCACAGAGCAUACACGCUGUGUUUUCACCCAGAGCUCCAAGGAGAGAGCCAGACACAGGGGGUAAGGUGAAGUGUCCUUUAAUAGAUGUUAAAUCCUGAUGUCAGUAUGUGCCAAGGGAAUAAACAAGUGAAGAGGCCUAUCUGCAGCUGCUGGGUAACUCGAUUGCAGAUCCACCUCAAGAAGGGAUAAAUUCCAGAAUGCUGUACAGCUGUAAGUGGUUUUUCAUCGUGAUGGAUCUGAUUGCAUCCCUGAGCUUCCCAAAGAGACAAUUGGAAGAUUUCCCACUCUUUACAAAGAGAAGUUCAGCUGCAGUACACAGAUUUCAUAGGAUGCUCCAACAUCCUUUCAAGAUUUCAUUAGUUCUUUUCUAGAAUUUAACUGCUUCAGAACAUCAUGUCCAUAUCUGUGUGUGCAGUGGUUUUUCUGGAAGGGGCUCCUUGACUGAAGUCUCCAAGAACGAGUAACACAAGUAAUCCUGGUUUGUGCCACACAAGCUGCUCUCUGAAUCCUGCACCAUGAAACCACAUGAAGAUUCUUACUGUGGCCACAAAUACCAAGAAUUUGGAUGGAACAGAGAAAGGAUGAAAAAUAACAUAUGUAAAGCUCACUUUCCUAUAGAAUCACUUAAUUAUUUUUACUGAUGUGGUUGGGUGUUUUGUUUUUAUUUUAUUUUGGCUCAGUAGUGGGGGUUUUAUACAGUAUUAGACUGAAAGGAAGCUCACAAAAGCACUUGCAUCACUGCUGAACAGGCAUGCUAACACCAGAUUUUGCCCUGCAAAGAGAGAUGUUGCAUUACAUUUUCAACUUCUCUGAAGUUUACACCUUUCAUAUUAACAAAAAGAAAAAUAUUACAGCAGCUUCAGUGUAAUUCCAUUAGAAUUUUAAAACAGGAUAUUGAGCUAAAUAUCUCUUGCGAUUCAUGUAAUUGGGAGCUUGAAUGCAGUUUGACACGUUAGUGAUUGGUGUAGUUUUAGGCUCUACUGCAGCAUUCAGGCUAUGUGAGUAAAAAGGAAUCUAGCAAAAAGAGAAAGAGCUCAGGGGAUGGCACAAGCAAGCAGCACACAGCUGUUUGACUGCACGGGCUUCCUCCAUAGCCAUCCCCUACCCUGAACUAACAUCAGUUUCUGAACUGUUUGAAAUUGAGUUGCGGCAUCUAUAUGAAGCACCACAGUUAUUUUUUUUUUCCUCCCGCACUCAUCAAGUCAAAGGCAGCCCAGGUUGUAAGGAGGGGAGCUCUCUCCCUGCCCAAUAGAGGGCUCUGUGCUCCCUCCCCACAGUGAACAAGAUAACUACAGCCAUACAAAAGCCAUACAGAAAAAUCAAACUUGGAGGCUAAAAAUCUAAAAAUGGACAGUUGUUUGUUUUGUAUGCACUGACAUUACAUUCCAAUUUAAAGGUAAUUUAAGAAUCAGCGCCAUCAUUUCCAAGUAGUCAGCCUAGUGGUUAGGGAAAAACAAGGAACUCCACCUCAAAGGUGAUCAUUUCCCUCCCACCCCCAUGUUAGACUAUGCAUUCCUGCAAGGACAUUUUAGGGGAAAUUCAGUGCCCUGCAUCACCUGUGAGAGGAUUUACUCUCAGAUUACAGAAGCCCCUAUGACUGGGAGAGCUUUUCCCAGACAAAGGAAAGGAUGAUUUCUCCAGGAUUCCAUAGGAAUAUCCUCAACUCCUCCUGCAAGGAACCGUGGAUGCUACAAAGCUCAGCAAAAUUACUCAGAAAAACAGUACCAGGCAUAAGGCAAGCAGCUAUUUCCUUCUUUUCAG